UACGUAGGGUGCGGGCGUUAAUCGGAAUUACUGGGCAUAAAGCGUGCGCAGGCGGUCUGUUAAGACAGAUGUGAAAUCCCCGGGCUUAACCUGGGAACUGCAUUUGUGACUGGCAGGCUAGAGUAUGGCAGAGGGGGGUAGAAUUCCACGUGUAGCAGUGAAAUGUGUAGAGAUGUGGAGGAAUACCGAUGGCGAAGGCAGCCCCCUGGGCCAAUACUGACGCUCAUGCACGAAAGCGUGGGGAGCAAACAGG
This 253-nucleotide ribosomal RNA is filed under the name uncultured bacterium. RNAcentral describes it as "partial 16S ribosomal RNA". It matches the Rfam family "Bacterial small subunit ribosomal RNA", at positions 524 to 776 of the family's 1533-position model. The record is from RNAcentral.